RNAcentral lists this ribosomal RNA (2923 nucleotides) under Shigella sonnei. RNAcentral's name for it is "23S ribosomal RNA". It matches the Rfam family "Bacterial large subunit ribosomal RNA". The record is from RNAcentral. Lineage: Bacteria; Pseudomonadati; Pseudomonadota; Gammaproteobacteria; Enterobacterales; Enterobacteriaceae.
GGGUUGUGAGGUUAAGCGACUAAGCGUACACGGUGGAUGCCCUGGCAGUCAGAGGCGAUGAAGGACGUGCUAAUCUGCGAUAAGCGUCGGUAAGGUGAUAUGAACCGUUAUAACCGGCGAUUUCCGAAUGGGGAAACCCAGUGUGAUUCGUCACACUAUCAUUAACUGAAUCCAUAGGUUAAUGAGGCGAACCGGGGGAACUGAAACAUCUAAGUACCCCGAGGAAAAGAAAUCAACCGAGAUUCCCCCAGUAGCGGCGAGCGAACGGGGAGCAGCCCAGAGCCUGAAUCAGUGUGUGUGUUAGUGGAAGCGUCUGGAAAGGCGCGCGAUACAGGGUGACAGCCCCGUACACAAAAAUGCACAUAUUGUGAGCUCGAUGAGUAGGGCGGGACACGUGGUAUCCUGUCUGAAUAUGGGGGGCCCAUCCUCCAAGGCUAAAUACUCCUGACUGACCGAUAGUGAACCAGUACCGUGAGGGAAAGGCGAAAAGAACCCCGGCGAGGGGAGUGAAAAAGAACCUGAAACCGUGUACGUACAAGCAGUGGGAGCACGCUUAGGCGUGUGACUGCGUACCUUUUGUAUAAUGGGUCAGCGACUUAUAUUCUGUAGCAAGGUUAACCGAAUAGGGGAGCCGAAGGGAAACCGAGUCUUAACUGGGCGUUAAGUUGCAGGGUAUAGACCCGAAACCCGGUGAUCUAGCCAUGGGCAGGUUGAAGGUUGGGUAACACUAACUGGAGGACCGAACCGACUAAUGUUGAAAAAUUAGCGGAUGACUUGUGGCUGGGGGUGAAAGGCCAAUCAAACCGGGAGAUAGCUGGUUCUCCCCGAAAGCUAUUUAGGUAGCGCCUCGUGAAUUCAUCUCCGGGGUAGAGCACUGUUUCGGCAAGGGGGUCAUCCCGACUUACCAACCCGAUGCAAACUGCGAAUACCGGAGAAUGUUAUCACGGGAGACACACGGCGGGUGCUAACGUCCGUCGUGAAGAGGGAAACAACCCAGACCGCCAGCUAAGGUCCCAAAGUCAUGGUUAAGUGGGAAACGAUGUGGGAAGGCCCAGACAGCCAGGAUGUUGGCUUAGAAGCAGCCAUCAUUUAAAGAAAGCGUAAUAGCUCACUGGUCGAGUCGGCCUGCGCGGAAGAUGUAACGGGGCUAAACCAUGCACCGAAGCUGCGGCAGCGACGCUUAUGCGUUGUUGGGUAGGGGAGCGUUCUGUAAGCCUGCGAAGGUGUGCUGUGAGGCAUGCUGGAGGUAUCAGAAGUGCGAAUGCUGACAUAAGUAACGAUAAAGCGGGUGAAAAGCCCGCUCGCCGGAAGACCAAGGGUUCCUGUCCAACGUUAAUCGGGGCAGGGUGAGUCGACCCCUAAGGCGAGGCCGAAAGGCGUAGUCGAUGGGAAACAGGUUAAUAUUCCUGUACUUGGUGUUACUGCGAAGGGGGACGGAGAAGGCUAUGUUGGCCGGGCGACGGUUGUCCCGGUUUAAGCGUGUAGGCUGGUUUUCCAGGCAAAUCCGGAAAAUCAAGGCUGAGGCGUGAUGACGAGGCACUACGGUGCUGAAGCAACAAAUGCCCUGCUUCCAGGAAAAGCCUCUAAGCAUCAGGUAACAUCAAAUCGUACCCCAAACCGACACAGGUGGUCAGGUAGAGAAUACCAAGGCGCUUGAGAGAACUCGGGUGAAGGAACUAGGCAAAAUGGUGCCGUAACUUCGGGAGAAGGCACGCUGAUAUGUAGGUGAAGUCCCUUGCGGAUGGAGCUGAAAUCAGUCGAAGAUACCAGCUGGCUGCAACUGUUUAUUAAAAACACAGCACUGUGCAAACACGAAAGUGGACGUAUACGGUGUGACGCCUGCCCGGUGCCGGAAGGUUAAUUGAUGGGGUCAGCGCAAGCGAAGCUCUUGAUCGAAGCCCCGGUAAACGGCGGCCGUAACUAUAACGGUCCUAAGGUAGCGAAAUUCCUUGUCGGGUAAGUUCCGACCUGCACGAAUGGCGUAAUGAUGGCCAGGCUGUCUCCACCCGAGACUCAGUGAAAUUGAACUCGCUGUGAAGAUGCAGUGUACCCGCGGCAAGACGGAAAGACCCCGUGAACCUUUACUAUAGCUUGACACUGAACAUUGAGCCUUGAUGUGUAGGAUAGGUGGGAGGCUUUGAAGUGUGGACGCCAGUCUGCAUGGAGCCGGCCUUGAAAUACCACCCUUUAAUGUUUGAUGUUCUAACGUGGACCCGUGAUCCGGGUUGCGGACAGUGUCUGGUGGGUAGUUUGACUGGGGCGGUCUCCUCCUAAAGAGUAACGGAGGAGCACGAAGGUUGGCUAAUCCUGGUCGGACAUCAGGAGGUUAGUGCAAUGGCAUAAGCCAGCUUGACUGCGAGCGUGACGGCGCGAGCAGGUGCGAAAGCAGGUCAUAGUGAUCCGGUGGUUCUGAAUGGAAGGGCCAUCGCUCAACGGAUAAAAGGUACUCCGGGGAUAACAGGCUGAUACCGCCCAAGAGUUCAUAUCGACGGCGGUGUUUGGCACCUCGAUGUCGGCUCAUCACAUCCUGGGGCUGAAGUAGGUCCCAAGGGUAUGGCUGUUCGCCAUUUAAAGUGGUACGCGAGCUGGGUUUAGAACGUCGUGAGACAGUUCGGUCCCUAUCUGCCGUGGGCGCUGGAGAACUGAGGGGGGCUGCUCCUAGUACGAGAGGACCGGAGUGGACGCAUCACUGGUGUUCGGGUUGUCAUGCCAAUGGCACUGCCCGGUAGCUAAAUGCGGAAGAGAUAAGUGCUGAAAGCAUCUAAGCACGAAACUUGCCCCGAGAUGAGUUCUCCCUGACCCUUUAAGGGUCCUGAAGGAACGUUGAAGACGACGACGUUGAUAGGCCGGGUGUGUAAGCGCAGCGAUGCGUUGAGCUAACCGGUACUAAUGAACCGUGAGGCUUAACCUUACAACGCCGAAG